GAUGAACGCUGGCGGCGUGCCUAAUACAUGCAAGUCGAGCGAACAGACGAGGAGCUUGCUCCUCUGACGUUAGCGGCGGACGGGUGAGUAACACGUGGAUAACCUACCUAUAAGACUGGGAUAACUUCGGGAAACCGGAGCUAAUACCGGAUAAUAUAUUGAACCGCAUGGUUCAAUAGUGAAAGACGGUUUUGCUGUCACUUAUAGAUGGAUCCGCGCCGCAUUAGCUAGUUGGUAAGGUAACGGCUUACCAAGGCGACGAUGCGUAGCCGACCUGAGAGGGUGAUCGGCCACACUGGAACUGAGACACGGUCCAGACUCCUACGGGAGGCAGCAGUAGGGAAUCUUCCGCAAUGGGCGAAAGCCUGACGGAGCAACGCCGCGUGAGUGAUGAAGGUCGUCGGAUCGUAAAACUCUGUUAUUAGGGAAGAACAAAUGUGUAAGUAAAUAUGCACGUCUUGACGGUACCUAAUCAGAAAGCCACGGCUAACUACGUG
Molecule: ribosomal RNA, 497 nt
Filed under: uncultured bacterium
Lineage: Bacteria
Description: partial 16S ribosomal RNA
Rfam family: Bacterial small subunit ribosomal RNA
Source: RNAcentral